RNAcentral lists this ribosomal RNA (422 nucleotides) under uncultured archaeon. Its description in RNAcentral is "partial 16S ribosomal RNA". It matches the Rfam family "Archaeal small subunit ribosomal RNA", at positions 323 to 746 of the family's 1478-position model. The record is from RNAcentral.
CUACGGGUUGCUCCAGGCGAGAAAACUUUGCAAUGUGCGAAAGCACGACAAGGUUAAUCCGAGUGGUUUCUGCUAAAGGAACCUUUUGACAGUCCUAGAAACACUGUUGAAUAAGGGGUGGGCAAGUUCUGGUGUCAGCCGCCGCGGUAAAACCAGCACCUCAAGUGGUCAGGAUGAUUAUUGGGCCUAAAGCAUCCGUAGCCGGCUCUGUAAGUUGUCGGUUAAAUCUGUACGCUCAACGUACAGGCUGCCGGGAAUACUGCAGAGCUAGGGAGUGGGAGAGGUAGACGGUACUCGGUAGGAAGGGGUAAAAUCCUUUGAUCUAUUGAUGACCACCUGUGGCGAAGGCGGUCUACCAGAACACGUCCGACGGUGAGGGAUGAAAGCUGGGGGAGCAAACCGGAUUAGAUACCCGCGUAGUC